This is a non-coding RNA of Cinara cedri, 340 nucleotides long. The record is from the annotation of a GenBank genome assembly. NCBI's taxonomy places the organism in Eukaryota, Metazoa, Arthropoda, Insecta, Hemiptera, Aphididae.
AUAUGUUCAUGAGAGUAUGAGACAGACUAUAACUGUUCUAUGUGAGGUAUAGUUACACCUCACAUGAAACAAAAAAUACACUCAACAUGGAAAAUUUACCAACUACUAACUAAAUAGUAAAUACUCAAUAAUACUUCGUUUCCGCCGUGAUAGAUGUAUUUUUUUCUCUCUCACUACGGGUUGACUUUGAAUUUCUCUCUCUGAGUGCAGUUCAUAUAUUCCACAAGAGGAAUGCGAACUCAUUUUCAUAGCCGGUUAUUACAGCUAGCAUUGAUAGUUUUCUUAUCAUCGUAAGUUUGUUAUCACUUAUUACCACAGUGGUACAAGUCUACUUUACCGG